CACAGAAGCCAUGGUCCCAAGGAUGUGAUUUCUGGUGGUUUUUGGUACAUAAGGAAGUCCAGAGGUGGUGAAAAUGGCUUUGCUUGUUUGUCCAGGUUUCUCAUGUAACCUGCAGCUAAUAUUCCUUAAAUCCCUAGCUGUCAUAGUCCUGGAGGUCCCACAACUGAAUCAUUUCUU
Long non-coding RNA from Octopus sinensis (East Asian common octopus), 177 nucleotides. RefSeq lists it as uncharacterized. The record is from RefSeq and is a predicted model, not a curated record. NCBI's taxonomy places the organism in Eukaryota, Metazoa, Mollusca, Cephalopoda, Octopoda, Octopodidae. The transcript is spliced from 3 exons.